GUGGGGAAUCUUCCGCAAUGGACGAAAGUCUGACGGAGCGACGCCGCGUGAGUGAAGAAGGCCUUCGGGUCGUAAAGCUCUGUCAUCAGGGACGAACGGCCGGUGGAGUGGAAAGCCACCGGAUUGACGGUACCUGAGAAGGAAGCCACGGCUAACUACGUGCCAGCAGCCGCGGUAAUACGUAGGUGGCAAGCGUUGUCCGGAAUUAUUGGGCGUAAAGCGCGCGCAGGUGGGAUCUUAAGUCCAUUUUGAAAGUUCGGAGCUCAACUCCGUGAUGGGAUGGAAACUGGGAUUCUUGAGUACCGGAGAGGAAAGCGGAAUUCCCCGUGUAGCGGUGAAAUGCGUAGAUAUGGGGAGGAACACCAGUGGCGAAGGCGGCUUUCUGGACGGUGUCUGACACUGAGGCGCGAAAGCUAGGGGAGCGAACGGGAUUAGAUACCCCUGUAGUCC
RNAcentral lists this ribosomal RNA (450 nucleotides) under uncultured bacterium. RNAcentral's name for it is "partial 16S ribosomal RNA". It matches the Rfam family "Bacterial small subunit ribosomal RNA", at positions 354 to 796 of the family's 1533-position model. The record is from RNAcentral.